RNAcentral lists this long non-coding RNA (718 nucleotides) under Olea europaea subsp. europaea. The record is from RNAcentral. Lineage: Eukaryota; Viridiplantae; Streptophyta; Magnoliopsida; Lamiales; Oleaceae.
UUCAAAACGUAAUUCAAUAUUUUAAUUCUAAUAACAAUAUAAAUAUAAUUAAUCUACCAAAUCAUCUCCGCCUACACCGCAAACCCUAAAUCAUUUACACAAAUCUCUCUUUAUCAACUUCAUUCUCUACCGCCUCUUCUUCGCCCGCUCAUCUUCGGUGACUCUACAUGACAAGCAAAGGUGCCCUUGCACGCAAAGACAGGCGCAAUAGGUAGUGCCUAGUGCCAUUACAGUGCGUGUGCAGUGGCGACGGACGCUGCUUGGCUGCUCAUGAAGCAGCAACGACGAGUGGCGUCAUCGCAAAUGAACUGCAAUGCUCUUUGCCGUUUCACACAAACUACGACGGGAAAUGGGGACGUUGUUGCACGCAUGAUGUGAUGAUGACGUCUUCGCCGCUGUGUACGAAGCAGCAACGAUGCGAUGGUGUGGUGUUAGUGUGUACUGAAUGGGUCUUUAUUGGUGUUUUUGUUUGGCAACUCGUUGAUGGAUGUGUGUUGAACUGGUCUUUCUUGAAGUGAUGAAUGAAAUGGUAGUGGCAGUGGUGGCAAAAAUUCUAGUGGUGGUUUCAUUUCCCGAAGAAACGACUGACAAAGAUACAGUGGAUGUAAAGCGUCCAAGGAACUAGAUAUGAUGGCGGAGGUGGGUGUAGCGAAAAUAUAGUUGAUGGAAAUCAUUUUUUGGGUGUUGAUGAAAAUGGUGACGUGGGCAUUAAAAAUGC